UCUUCAGAUCGUAUAAAUCUUUGCCUUUUACUAAAGAUUUCCAUGGAGA
This 49-nucleotide small nuclear RNA is filed under the name Otolemur garnettii (small-eared galago). RNAcentral's name for it is "U5 spliceosomal RNA (ENSOGAG00000024896.1)". The record is from RNAcentral. Lineage: Eukaryota; Metazoa; Chordata; Mammalia; Primates; Galagidae.